AGUGGGAAACGAUGUGGGAAGGCCCAGACAGCCAGGAUGUUGGCUUAGAAGCAGCCAUCAUUUAAAGAAAGCGUAAUAGCUCACUGGUCGAGUCGGCCUGCGCGGAAGAUGUAACGGGGCUAAACCAUGCACCGAAGCUGCGGCAGCGAACGUAUCACUUAAAGCGAUUCAGCGGGUUACGAUUGACGGAGCGAAGCGACGUCAAAGCGUAUACAAAGUCGAGUCGGUUUAAGGAUACGUUCGUUGGGUAGGGGAGCGUUCUGUAAGCCUGUGAAGGUGGCCUGUGAGGGUUGCUGGAGGUAUCAGAAGUGCGAAUGCUGACAUAAGUAACGAUAAAGCGGGUGAAAAGCCCGCUCGCCGGAAGACCAAGGGUUCCUGUCCAACGUUAAUCGGGGCAGGGUGAGUCGACCCCUAAGGCGAG
Molecule: ribosomal RNA, 421 nt
Filed under: Salmonella enterica subsp. enterica serovar Panama
Lineage: Bacteria; Pseudomonadati; Pseudomonadota; Gammaproteobacteria; Enterobacterales; Enterobacteriaceae
Description: partial 23S ribosomal RNA
Rfam family: Bacterial large subunit ribosomal RNA
Source: RNAcentral